AGCAAGGUCAUAAAUAGACCAAUAUGAGUCCUUAGUCCAUAAGCCCAGAGUGAGAGGUUUGUUCUACAAGAAAUUACAUUUGGUGCGAGCCUGUGUACGUGCGUGUGCACGUUUCCCUCUCUGGUGGAUGUUUAUCCCUCACCCUGAUAACCAUCUGCUUCUUUGGGGUGGCAUUCAGUAAGACAAGGAUUUGGAAGAUUCAAAUAAAAAUUUAUUCAGAACAAUGCAUCUCUAAUCCGUGGAAAAAAAUAAAUCUACGAUUGGUGUCUGCUUCAUUCCUGACGCCUCUCUUCAACCUUCACUUGCUGUAUGUGCCGUGUCUGUCUACACAGCAAGGAUGUGGGCAGGAAAUGUGAUGGGCUGGGCGUCUGCUUCAAAGAGUCAGUCCCCAAGGGGGUUUUCUCACACUAAUUUGCUCCCACCCUCUCGAUUACGUUCUUGUUGGCCUCCUUUUGACAACCAUAAUCGAGGCAGAGAGGAUCGUGAAGGUGCACAUGGGCGAGUUCCUAGACAUGGGCGAGUUCCUAGACAUGGGCGUGAAGUUGCAUAAAUGCGGAGUUACCGUAGCACUGCUGAUCGGACAAUGAGUAGCGUACUGUGUCUUAUUCGUCCAGGGUUUUCCUUGGACACAAUGGAAGCUGAUUGGAAGGGGGUGUGGCAGGUAUCAUCAUUGUCCUGGGUCAGGAUACAGGCGUAGCCACAAUUAAAGUCUGUUGGUCAGAGGAAGGACCAUUCUGUUUGCCUGCUAAAUUGCCAUCUCCUUUAGUACAGGGGGUUUAGGAAUGAGAGUGAUUCACACUAUGACCCCAUCUGCUGGACAGGUGUUGAACAGGAAGGAAUGGUCGGUGCUGUGUUUAUUAGAAACACUGAAUUGAUUUGGCCAAACCCAGAGCUUGUAGCAGCAAAAACAGUGAGCCACAUUGUAGAACGAUGUUGCAGUAGUGUCUUUCGGCGAUGUUAAAUUCAUAGUUCUUAAAAGUACAAUCCAGGUUUUUGUUAAAAUAGUUAGUUUUAUGGCGGUUCUUCACGUUGUUUUCAACUAAUUGAAUUCAGUCAUAAAAGUAAUCAGCUAGAAAAGAGAGAAAGGCAAGAGGUAGGUUAAGGUGUUUGUAUCAAAUACUGGAACGAAGACAACCUGCAGCCUAAUGCUGCCUGUUUUUCCCAUCCAAACCAUUAGGGGUUAUUUGUUUUGUCAUGGGUCAAACAUUGGGGUGCAGUCUACUUUGCGGGUCCAACAACAGAUGUCAUUUUUAUUUUAGAGUUGCAAAAACCUUCCCAGACGUUUCGUUAUGGCCCCACAAAUGAACACGACCCAGAGCAAUGAGUGGCAGAGGUCUUUGUUCCUCUGAGGUCAUGUUACUUCCUGCCUGGUCACCCUACUUCCUGUUUCCUCAAAGUUAAUUGUGAGAGGCAGAAGAGUCAUCACUGGUCUACAUGUCUAAAAAAAGGGUUGCAGGGCAUAAAGGGGUGCACUUUUUAUGUCCUGGUGUGGUUGGCGCUAGCGCGGCGUGUACAGAGUUAAUUCCGGAGCCAGUUUGUUUCAUGUCCAUUUGUAGAUGUGUUCCUCAGCAAUGGCGCUGCUGAAGUCUGUAGGGUCUUACAGAGCCUGGGUCGGUCUUUCGCGUUCAUUAUGCUUAACCACAACAAGUGGUCUAGAUGUCUUUUCAGUUUCACAGUCAGUGGUGGAGGAAAUUGCCGGAAAGUAGGGCUCACCAAAAUUGUAAACCCUGCUUACAGGGACCGGAAACGUUUUUUUAACUGUCUGAGUAAUUAACCUUAACUACAAUUUGCAUUCUCACAUUCAAUAAAGCCAGGCUAAGAGAGUCGUGUUUAAGAGCAGCUCUUAGCCACGGUAUAUCGGCUCUCGUGUCUUACUGCUUAACUGUGUGCUACUCGACACGACAAUGGGUCACAGUAACCUAAAGGCACACAAUGUAAUUUAGGACUUCUGCACUGUAGGUGGCGCUAAAUCAGCAAUGUUGUCUUGACACUAUUUUGGGGGUGGGGGGUUAGUGGCACAGAGCCAAAUUUUGAGCAAGGUUGAUGUCUGUUUUGAGCUGCCUCUCAUGUAACAUGUCAAAUUUCAAACUGUUAGCAGUAACAGCAGAGUGUUCAUGUGGUGUCAAGUUCAGUCUGGGGACAAGGGCGGGGGGGUGGGGGGCACAGAGUGUUUACAUGUGUUUUAUUUCAGUCCAGAAUUCACUGUCAAAUUUCAGUAUAGGACAUUAUAUGUCUGACAGAAGGCCUGACCUCAGGAAGUGUUGUGUUUAAUAAAUGUAUUCCUCUCUCUAACUUCCUCUCUCUAACUCCUGUCUCUCGCCCUUCUCUUUCUUUCUCUCGCCCUUCUCUUUCUUUCUCUCGCCCUUCUCUUUCUUUCUCUAGCCCUUCUCUUUCUUUCUCUCGCCCUUCUCUUUCUUUCUCUAGCCCUUCUCUUUCUUUCUCUAGCCCUUCUCUUUCUUUCUCUCGCCUUUCUCUUUCUUUCUCUCGCCCUUCUCUUUCUUUCUCUUAUCAGUCCCUGUCUGUCUCUUCACUCCCUCACAUCUAACGUCUCUUCGUAUGGCUUUUUAUUUGAAUGUAAAAUAUUGUGCUGUUGUGGUGCGUAUUUACAGAGUAUUGUCGUGGUCCAAACAAUGUUAUUGAAUGUUAUUGAGCAGUCAGUCACAAUGUGUCCACAUCACGUCUUAUUUGGUGUCACAAAUGGCUGGUGAUUUCCAAGGUUUUCUUGGGAAGAUCCUUGGAACGAGUCCAUGGGAGCAAGCAAGUGACUUGAUUUGGAUGCUUUAUAUAUCUAGACAGCACUAUAUUUAUUGAUUAGCUAUUUACCAAGAGGUAUUGAUUAGCUGUAUACCAAUAUGUGUCUGUUGUUUCUUGUUCUUGAUGUUAUAAUGGACCUCAUUCAAUGGGUGUUUCACAGAAGAUAUUGAGAAUCAGGCCGUGUUAUGUGUUUUCUAUGAUUUUUGAAUUAUGUCAUUAAAGUAUAUAUGGCUGUUUUUUU
This is a long non-coding RNA of Esox lucius (northern pike), 2995 nucleotides long. The record is from Ensembl. Lineage: Eukaryota; Metazoa; Chordata; Actinopteri; Esociformes; Esocidae.